GAUGAACGCUGGCGGCGUGCCUAAUACAUGCAAGUAGAACGCUGAAGGAGGAGCUUGCUCUUCUGGAUGAGUUGCGAACGGGUGAGUAACGCGUAGGUAACCUGCCUGGUAGCGGGGGAUAACUAUUGGAAACGAUAGCUAAUACCGCAUGACAACAGUUAUUGCAUGAUAACUGUUUAAAAGGGGCAACUGCUCCACUACCAGAUGGACCUGCGUUGUAUUAGCUAGUUGGUGAGGUAACGGCUCACCAAGGCGAGGAUACAUAGCCGACCGGAGAGGGUGAGCGGCCACACUGGGACUGAGACACGGCCCAGACUCCUACGGGAGGCAGCAGUAGGGAAUCUUCGGCAAUGGACGGAAGUCUGACCGAGCAACGCCGCGUGAGUGAAGAAGGUUUUCGGAUCGUAAAGCUCUGUUGUAAGAGAAGAACGAGUGUGAGAGUGGAAAGUUCACACUGUGACGGUAUCUUACCAGAAAGGGACGGCUAACUACGUG
This 495-nucleotide ribosomal RNA is filed under the name uncultured bacterium. RNAcentral's name for it is "partial 16S ribosomal RNA". It matches the Rfam family "Bacterial small subunit ribosomal RNA", at positions 28 to 507 of the family's 1533-position model. The record is from RNAcentral.